GGGUUGUGAGGUUAAGCGACUAAGCGUACACGGUGGAUGCCCUGGCAGUCAGAGGCGAUGAAGGGCGUGCUAAUCUGCGAUAAGCGCCGGUAAGGUGAUAUGAACCGUUAUAACCGGCGAUACCCGAAUGGGGAAACCCAGUGUGACUCGUCACACUAUCAUUAACUGAAUCCAUAGGUUAAUGAGGCGAACCGGGGGAACUGAAACAUCUAAGUACCCCGAGGAAAAGAAAUCAACCGAGAUUCCCCCAGUAGCGGCGAGCGAACGGGGAGGAGCCCAGAGCCUGAAUCAGCAUGUGUGUUAGUGGAAGCGUCUGGAAAGGCGCGCGAUACAGGGUGACAGCCCCGUACACAAAAGCGCAUGUGCUGUGAGCUCGAUGAGUAGGGCGGGACACGUGGUAUCCUGUCUGAAUAUGGGGGGACCAUCCUCCAAGGCUAAAUACUCCUGACUGACCGAUAGUGAACCAGUACCGUGAGGGAAAGGCGAAAAGAACCCCGGCGAGGGGAGUGAAAAAGAACCUGAAACCGUGUACGUACAAGCAGUGGGAGCCCCACCACCAAAGCAUUUGCUGUACCGCGUUGACGGAGCGAAGCGACGUCAAACCGAUAAAACAGCAGUGUAAAGUGAGCCGCAGGGCGCUUUGCGCGACAGCGCAAAGGCAGGCGGUUUCGCGUAGCGAAAGCGAAUGCUUUGGGGUGGGGUGACUGCGUACCUUUUGUAUAAUGGGUCAGCGACUUAUAUUCUGUAGCAAGGUUAACCGAAUAGGGGAGCCGGAGGGAAACCGAGUCUUAAUUGGGCGUUAAGUUGCAGGGUAUAGACCCGAAACCCGGUGAUCUAGCCAUGGGCAGGUUGAAGGUUGGGUAACACUAACUGGAGGACCGAACCGACUAAUGUUGAAAAAUUAGCGGAUGACCUGUGGCUGGGGGUGAAAGGCCAAUCAAACCGGGAGAUAGCUGGUUCUCCCCGAAAGCUAUUUAGGUAGCGCCUCGUGAAUUCAUCUCCGGGGGUAGAGCACUGUUUCGGCUAGGGGGCCAUCCCGGCUUACCAACCCGAUGCAAACUGCGAAUACCGGAGAAUGUUAUCACGGGAGACACACGGCGGGUGCUAACGUCCGUCGUGAAGAGGGAAACAACCCAGACCGCCAGCUAAGGUCCCAAAGUCAUGGUUAAGUGGGAAACGAUGUGGGAAGGCCCAGACAGCCGAGAUGUUGGCUUAGAAGCAGCCAUCAUUUAAAGAAAGCGUAAUAGCUCACUGGUCGAGUCGGCCUGCGCGGAAGAUGUAACGGGGCUAAACCAUGCACCGAAGCUGCGGCAGCGACACUGUGUGUUGUUGGGUAGGGGAGCGUUCUGUAAGCCUGUGAAGGUGUGUCGUGAGGCAUGCUGGAGGUAUCAGAAGUGCGAAUGCUGACAUAAGUAACGAUAAAGCGGGUGAAAAGCCCGCUCGCCGGAAGACCAAGGGUUCCUGUCCAACGUUAAUCGGGGCAGGGUGAGUCGACCCCUAAGGCGAGGCCGAAAGGCGUAGUCGAUGGGAAACGGGUUAAUAUUCCCGUACUUGGUGUUACUGCGAAGGGGGGACGGAGAAGGCUAUGUUGGCCGGGCGACGGUUGUCCCGGUUUAAGCGUGUAGGUGUGUGUUCCAGGUAAAUCCGGUUCACUUUAACACUGAGGCGUGACGACGAGGCACUACGGUGCUGAAGCAACAAAUGCCCUGCUUCCAGGAAAAGCCUCUAAGCAUCAGGUAACAUCAAAUCGUACCCCAAACCGACACAGGUGGUCAGGUAGAGAAUACCAAGGCGCUUGAGAGAACUCGGGUGAAGGAACUAGGCAAAAUGGUGCCGUAACUUCGGGAGAAGGCACGCUGACACGUAGGUGAAGUGAUUUACUCAUGGAGCUGAAGUCAGUCGAAGAUACCAGCUGGCUGCAACUGUUUAUUAAAAACACAGCACUGUGCAAACACGAAAGUGGACGUAUACGGUGUGACGCCUGCCCGGUGCCGGAAGGUUAAUUGAUGGGGUCAGCGCAAGCGAAGCUCCUGAUCGAAGCCCCGGUAAACGGCGGCCGUAACUAUAACGGUCCUAAGGUAGCGAAAUUCCUUGUCGGGUAAGUUCCGACCUGCACGAAUGGCGUAAUGAUGGCCAGGCUGUCUCCACCCGAGACUCAGUGAAAUUGAACUCGCUGUGAAGAUGCAGUGUACCCGCGGCAAGACGGAAAGACCCCGUGAACCUUUACUAUAGCUUGACACUGAACAUUGAGCCUUGAUGUGUAGGAUAGGUGGGAGGCUUUGAAGUGUGGACGCCAGUCUGCAUGGAGCCGACCUUGAAAUACCACCCUUUAAUGUUUGAUGUUCUAACGUGGACCCGUUACCCGGGUUGCGGACAGUGUCUGGUGGGUAGUUUGACUGGGGCGGUCUCCUCCUAAAGAGUAACGGAGGAGCACGAAGGUUGGCUAAUCCUGGUCGGACAUCAGGAGGUUAGUGCAAUGGCAUAAGCCAGCUUGACUGCGAGCGUGACGGCGCGAGCAGGUGCGAAAGCAGGUCAUAGUGAUCCGGUGGUUCUGAAUGGAAGGGCCAUCGCUCAACGGAUAAAAGGUACUCCGGGGAUAACAGGCUGAUACCGCCCAAGAGUUCAUAUCGACGGCGGUGUUUGGCACCUCGAUGUCGGCUCAUCACAUCCUGGGGCUGAAGUAGGUCCCAAGGGUAUGGCUGUUCGCCAUUUAAAGUGGUACGCGAGCUGGGUUUAGAACGUCGUGAGACAGUUCGGUCCCUAUCUGCCGUGGGCGCUGGAGAACUGAGGGGGGCUGCUCCUAGUACGAGAGGACCGGAGUGGACGCAUCACUGGUGUUCGGGUUGUCAUGCCAAUGGCACUGCCCGGUAGCUAAAUGCGGAAGAGAUAAGUGCUGAAAGCAUCUAAGCACGAAACUUGCCCCGAGAUGAGUUCUCCCUGAGACUUAGAGUCUCCUGAAGGAACGUUGAAGACGACGACGUUGAUAGGCCGGGUGUGUAAGCGCAGCGAUGCGUUGAGCUAACCGGUACUAAUGAACCGUGAGGCUUAACCUUACAACGCCGAAG
RNAcentral lists this ribosomal RNA (3065 nucleotides) under Salmonella enterica. RNAcentral's name for it is "23S ribosomal RNA". It matches the Rfam family "Bacterial large subunit ribosomal RNA". Lineage: Bacteria; Pseudomonadati; Pseudomonadota; Gammaproteobacteria; Enterobacterales; Enterobacteriaceae. The record is from RNAcentral.